CACUGGAGGCAGCGGUUUAUCGAUCUUUUCCUGGUAGUUUUUGUUGUGAAAAAUAAUACAACACAAAAAUCAUGAAUCGAUCGAUAAACCUCUGCAUCCAGC
Non-coding RNA from Cephalotus follicularis, 102 nucleotides. NCBI's taxonomy places the organism in Eukaryota, Viridiplantae, Streptophyta, Magnoliopsida, Oxalidales, Cephalotaceae. The record is from Rfam.